RNAcentral lists this long non-coding RNA (638 nucleotides) under Equus asinus (donkey). RNAcentral's name for it is "lncRNA (ENSEASG00005034640.1)". Lineage: Eukaryota; Metazoa; Chordata; Mammalia; Perissodactyla; Equidae. The record is from RNAcentral.
GAAUGCCGAUCAGCUGACCUGAAAAGAGGGCAAAUAGCGUGCAUUAUGCAGGUGGCUCCAAUGCAAUUACAAGGGUCCUUAAAAGCUGAAGAGGGACUUGAAAGGAAGAGCUGACAAGAUGGCAAAAUGAGAAGGACACAUUUUGCUGAUGCUGCUGACUUAGAAGAUUGAGGAAUGUGUCAUGAAUCAAGGAAAACAGAGGAACUCUAGAAGUUGGAAUUUCUAGAAGCUGAAAAAUGUAAGAAAAUGAAUUCGCCCCUGGAGCCCCCAGAGAGGAAUGUAGCCCUGCUGAUACCUUGAGCUUAGCCACUGAGGUCCGUGUUGGAUUUACAACCCGCAAAACUGGAGUUACAGAAAUUAAGAAGCAUAUUGUCAUGAUAAUAACUGAAAAAGAACCAGGCACACACUCCACAACUGCAUUUUCUCCUUUACGUUCUGGACGUUAGAGUCUGGGGAUUUAUCUGCGGGGAAGGUGAUAAUUUGCUACAGUUCUCACUGAGACAGCCAUCUGGUGGCUUUGAAAUAUUGCACAGGAUACAGGAAGUGACUGGCAGGUGCAGCAGCGUCGAAUACUUUUUCCCUGAACACCGAAGACUGUGUGUAGUCAGCUAUUCCAGCUGCUCUUGCUUGAUGAUGCU